RNAcentral lists this ribosomal RNA (492 nucleotides) under uncultured bacterium. RNAcentral describes it as "partial 16S ribosomal RNA". It matches the Rfam family "Bacterial small subunit ribosomal RNA", at positions 29 to 507 of the family's 1533-position model. The record is from RNAcentral.
AGUGAACGCUGGCGGUAGGCCUAACACAUGCAAGUCGAACGGCAGCACAGUAAGAGCUUGCUCUUACGGGUGGCGAGUGGCGGACGGGUGAGGAAUACAUCGGAAUCUACUUUUUCGUGGGGGAUAACGUAGGGAAACUUACGCUAAUACCGCAUACGACCUACGGGUGAAAGCAGGUGAUCUUCGGACCUUGCGCGAUUCAAUGAGCCGAUGUCGGAUUGGCUAGUUGGCGGGGUAAAGGCCCACCAAGGCGACGCUCCGUACCUGGUCUGAGCGGAUGAUCGGCAACACUGGAACUGGGACACGGUCCAGCUUCCUACGGGAGGAAGCAGUGGGGAAUAUUGGACAAUGGGCGCAAGCCUGAUCCAGCCAUACCGCGUGGGUGAAGAAGGCCUUCGGGUUGUAAAGCCCUUUUGUUGGGAAAGAAAAGCAGCAGGUUAAUACCCCGCUGUUCUGACGGUACCCAAAGAAUAAGCACCGGCUAACUUCGUG